CAGCAGCCACGGUAAUACAGAGGGUGCGAGCGUUAAUCGGAUUUACUGGGCGUAAAGCGUGCGUAGGCGGCUUUUUAAGUCGGAUGUGAAAUCCCUGAGCUUAACUUAGGAAUUGCAUUCGAUACUGGGAAGCUAGAGUAUGGGAGAGGAUGGUAGAAUUCCAGGUGUAGCGGUGAAAUGCGUAGAGAUCGGAAGGAACAUCUGUGGCGAAGGCGACUAUCUGGGCCAACACUGACACUGAGGCACGAAAGCGUGGGGAGCAAACAGGAUUAGAUACCCGAGUAGUCCCUGUCUCUUAUAC
Molecule: ribosomal RNA, 301 nt
Filed under: uncultured bacterium
Lineage: Bacteria
Description: partial 16S ribosomal RNA
Rfam family: Bacterial small subunit ribosomal RNA
Source: RNAcentral